AUUGAACGCUGGCGGCAUGCUUUACACAUGCAAGUCGAACGGCAGCGCGGGCUUCGUCUUGGCGGCGAGUGGCGAACGGGUGAGUAAGCCAUCGGAACGGGCCCGGGUGUGGGGGAUAGCCCGCCGAAGGCGGGAUUAAUACGGCAUACGACCUGAGGGUGUAAGAGGGGGACCGUAAGCCCUCACGCACUUUGAGCGGCUGAGGUCGGAGUGGUGAGUUGGUGGGGUAAAGGCUUUCCAGGGCGAAGAGCCGUAACUGGUCUCAGAGGAGGACAAGCGACACUGGGACUGGAAAGCGGCCCAGACUCCUGCGGGAGGGACAAGUGGCGAAUUUUGGACAGAGGGGGCAAUCCUGAUUCAGCCAUGCCGCGUGAGAGAAGAAGGCCUUCGGGUUGUAAACCUCUUUUGUUCGGGAAGAAAUCCUCUGGGCUAAUACCCCGAGGGGAUGACGGUACCGGACGAAUAAGCACCGGCUAACUACGUG
RNAcentral lists this ribosomal RNA (484 nucleotides) under uncultured bacterium. Its description in RNAcentral is "partial 16S ribosomal RNA". It matches the Rfam family "Bacterial small subunit ribosomal RNA", at positions 28 to 507 of the family's 1533-position model. The record is from RNAcentral.